AAGAAAGAUUAAUACCCGAUGGUAUAAUCAGACCGCAUGGUCUUGUUAUUAAAGAAUUUCGGUUAUCGAUGGGGAUGCGUUCCAUUAGGCAGUUGGUGAGGUAACGGCUCACCAAACCUUCGAUGGAUAGGGGUUCUGAGAGGAAGGUCCCCCACAUUGGAACUGAGACACGGUCCAAACUCCUACGGGAGGCAGCAGUGAGGAAUAUUGGUCAAUGGGCGCAGGCCUGAACCAGCCAAGUAGCGUGAAGGAUGACUGCCCUAUGGGUUGUAAACUUCUUUUAUAUGGGAAUAAAAUUUUCCACGUGUGGAAUU
RNAcentral lists this ribosomal RNA (314 nucleotides) under uncultured bacterium. Its description in RNAcentral is "bacterial SSU rRNA". It matches the Rfam family "Bacterial small subunit ribosomal RNA", at positions 155 to 469 of the family's 1533-position model. The record is from RNAcentral.